UCGAGGAUCUUUGGCAAUGGGCGCAAGCCUGACCAAGCGACGCCGCGUGUGCGAUGAAGGCCUUCGGGUUGUAAAGCACUGUCGAGGGGGAUAAAACCGCAAGGUUGAUAGAUCCCUGGAGGAAGCACGGGCUAAGUUCGUGCCAGCAGCCGCGGUAAGACGAACCGUGCGAACGUUGUUCGGAAUCACUGGGCUUAAAGGGCGCGUAGGCGGUUUGCCAAGUCAGGGGUGAAAUCCUGCAGCUCAACUGUAGAAGUGCCUUUGAUACUGGCGAACUCGAGGGAGAUAGGGGUGGGUGGAACUUCUGGUGGAGCGGUGAAAUGCGUUGAUAUCAGAAGGAACGCCGGUGGCGAAAGCGACCCACUGGAUCUUUUCUAACGCUGAGGCGCGAAAGCUAGGGGAGCAAACGG
This 410-nucleotide ribosomal RNA is filed under the name uncultured bacterium. Its description in RNAcentral is "bacterial SSU rRNA". It matches the Rfam family "Bacterial small subunit ribosomal RNA", at positions 355 to 775 of the family's 1533-position model. The record is from RNAcentral.